Dendrobium catenatum is the source of this 103-nucleotide small nucleolar RNA. Lineage: Eukaryota; Viridiplantae; Streptophyta; Magnoliopsida; Asparagales; Orchidaceae. The record is from RefSeq and is a predicted model, not a curated record.
AAGACAUGAUAAGGGCACUUUCUAAGCAUCUCUUUGAAUAUCUCUCAACUCUCAUGAAUAAAUUCUCAUUUUGAGUAAAAGAAGUAAUAUAAUUUAUAAGUUU